Molecule: long non-coding RNA, 4289 nt
Filed under: Olea europaea subsp. europaea
Lineage: Eukaryota; Viridiplantae; Streptophyta; Magnoliopsida; Lamiales; Oleaceae
Source: RNAcentral
ACUUGGGCUAAGAAAAGUGAGAAGGAAGAAGAGCGCCAUUUCCCCAAAUGCCAAAAUAGAGAAAUCCGCCAUCCUUGAUCUCCACAUCUCCUACCAGCAUCUCGUCGCCAUCUAAGCUACAUCUCCAGCCAACGAAGUGCCGACUGCCCAAUAAGACCUCAAUUUAGAUUUUUAAGCUUUAUUCUUAUUCAUUUUAGCUAUUUGGUCACUAGAAAUUCUAGAUUUCUUUAACUUUUUUGCAUUUGAAUUUCCAACUAAACUUCUGAUCAGCUCUUUAAGGUCGAAGAACAUGAAAAGAACGAUGUAAAACCCAGUUUUACUAUCUUUUUUUCCUAGUGAAGAUUUUCGACUGACCCAAUUAAACCUCCGGUCAAAUUUUUAAGCUUUUAUUAUAAUGCAUUUUAUGUUAGGAAUGUGACUCAAAUUAGGAGAUUGAAGAAGCAUAAUUUGACUAGAGUUGAGAAGGAGAUUAAAUUCCUAUUUGACUAGAGUUGGAAAGGAGAUCAAAUUCCUAAUUGUAAUCUAAUUUCUUACCUUUUGGAACUCUGCUUAGAGUUUGGCUGAGUAGUAUAAAUAUUAGGUUCCUUUGUUAGUUUAGGUAGAGUAACAUAAAAACAAUAUUGCUAGUUUAUCUUGUAUUUUUCAUACUGUUGAAUUAAUAAAUAUCGUUCCUUUGUGUUUACUCUUUGUGUUCUUUCUUUACAAAUUAAAUCUUGUGUUUUUUGGUGUGUGAUCUAGUAUACUUCAGUAUUGUCAUAUAAUCUAGUUCUUUAAAAUCCAGUUUGGAAUCAAUGUAUGUUAUUGGAGCUUUCGUGCCUCCAACAAGUGGUAUCAGAGUUAGAUUGUUGAUUUUCUGUGGAAUGGUUGAGAUUUUUUUCGAGAUGGCAGGGUUGAAAUAUGAUAUUCUACAAUUAAAUCACAAUACAAUGUUUUCGUUGUGGCAAGUAAAGAUGAGGGCUAUUCUAGCACAGUUAGAUUUGGAAGAUGCGUUGUUAGGUUUUGAGAGGAUGCUAGUUGAACGGACAACGGAGGAGAAACAACGAAAGGAUCGAAAGGCUAUGUUAUUAAUUCAUCUUCAUCUGUCCAACAACAAUCUGCAGGAUGUCUUGACGGAGAAAACGACGGAUGCUUUGUGGUUAAGGUUGGAGCAGUUGUGUACAACUAAGAGUUUUACAAGUAAACUGACUCUUAAGUAGAAGUUGUAUUCACUUCGCAUGGCGAAAGGAGAGUCAUUAGAAGACCAUGUUGUCGUGUUCAAGGAAAUAGUUACAAAUCUAGAAACAUUGGAGUUUAAAUACGAUGAAGAGGAUUUUGCCUUGAUCCUAUUGUGUUUGCUGUCUGGAUCUUAUGCGUCGUUUCGGGAUACUAUCUUGUAUAGUCAAGAUACUUUGACUAUAGAAGUUGUCUAUGAUACUUUGCACUCAAAGGAGAAGAUGAAGCAUUUGGUUGGAGCUACAUUAAAAGAUAGAGAAUCUCUUGUAUCUCAAGGUGGUCGAUGAAGAGACAGAUUUAGCAAUGUUACCUGUUACUACUGCAAAAGGAAGGGACAUAUUCGGAAUGAUUGUAAUAUAUUGCAGGCUAAAGGUGAUUUAGCUGCAAAUCGUGGGGUGCAACCUUUGAAUUCAGACGAAACUAAUGUAGUUGAAAAUUGUUCAGAUGACGAAGAGGUGAUGUUGACCGUGGUAUUUAAUGUGGAGUCUAGGCAUGACGAUGAGUGGAUUCUUGAUUCAGCAUGUUCAUACGAUAUAUGUUCUGAUAGGAAUUUAUUUAAGACAUAUAAGGUUGUUCAGCAAGGUGAAGUUAUAAUUGGAAACAAUCAAUCUUGUCGUAUUACUGGGAUCGGUCGAGUUAGAUUGAGGUUGCGGGAUGGAACAUUAGAACAAUUGAUCAGGUUCGACAUGUUCCUGACCUGAAAAGAAAUCUCAUUUCGCAAGCACCUUGGAUGCAAAUGGGUUUAAAUUCUCUGGAGAAGGUGGAGUCUUGAAGGUUCGAAAGGGAGUUUUAAAUUCUCUGGAGAAGGUGGAGUCUUGAAGGUUCGAAAGGGAGUUUGGGUUGUACUGGAGGGAUGGAAAAGAUCUCAGUUAUACGUUUUGCAGGGGAGUGCAGAACCUUUUAGGAGACAUUUGGAUAAGUUUAGUACCGUGGUGGAAGUUCAGUUUGGUAUAAUACCUCAUGGGUUGGGCUUUGAGUCAAUUCAGAAUACUGCUAGGAAAAGCGUUGGUAAUUCCAUUUUGUCACCAAUUUCAACGGGUACACUGUGUUCAGCUGCUGGAGUAGGACUCAUCAAGCGUAUGUACUGUGGUGUCAGCAAUGUCUGGGAUGCUUCUGGGGAUGUUGAAGGUAAUAGUUCUAGCAAUGGGCGUUCUGAUCAAGCAUUUGAUUUGGUUCUUGCUACAAGGUGUGCUUCGAUCCUGUGUGAUCAAUAUUAAUUCCUUGGUGGAAUUGAGAACCAUGGGGUUGGGUUCUUAUGUCGGUUGUGGAUGCCGAAUAGAGGACGAGUGUUUGGUUUAUAUGGAGUGGUUACUGUGUUGAGGAAAUUCAACCGGUUCAUUUCGUUGCAGACGGAUUUGAAAUCUAGGAGUUUCUUUCACUACACUGAAAUUUGAGUCAAGAUGGAGAUUUUUAGGAAUGUGACUCAAAUUAGGAGAUUGAAGAAGCAUAAUUUGAGUAGAGUUGGAAAGGAAAUCAAAUUCCUAAUUGUAACCUAAUUUCUUAUCUUUUGGAACUCUAUUUAGGGUUUGGCCGUGUAGUAUAAAUAUUAAGCUCCUUUGUUAGUUUAGGUACAGUAACAUAGAAGCUUUAUUACUAGUCUAUCUUGUAUUCUCCAUACUAUUGAAUUAAUAAAUAUUGUUCCUCUGCAUUUACCCUUUAUGUUCUUUCUUUACAAAUUAAAUAUUAUGUUUUUUUCGGUGUGUGAUUUAGUAUACUUCAAUUUUGUCAUAUAAUUAAUUUCUUUAAAAUUCGGUUUGGAAUCAACGUGUGUUACUGGAGCUUUCGCGCCCCAACAUUUUAGGUAUUUGGUGCUAUAAAAUUCUAGGUUUCUUGAAUUUCUUUUCACUGGAGUUUCCACCUAAACCUCUGAUUAACUCUUUAAGGUUGUAGAUUAUGUAGGUCGGUUAUAAUUACCAUUUUCAUUUAGAAACUAUUUUUAAGUUCAGGUAGAUUAUGUGGGCCAGUUAUAAUAUGCCUUUUUUUUUCUUUUUUUUUUUUUAAUCGUCAUCUCCACUUGUGAUAUAUAAUUAUAAAUUUUGUGGCAAGAAAGGAAACUGUGGAGGAUGGAAAUCAUGAUUUGUUGCUGGAAUGUGAUAACGAGAACAUCACAGAGAAUUUGAAUAUAUUGGACAACGAAAAUGUAGGAGGAGAUGUUGCGACUGUGAUUGAAUUUACUUGUUUAUAAAUGUUUGUAUUGGGAGAUAUAAUUAUUACAAUUUGAAGUUACUUGUUUAUGAAUGUUCAAUGUUGAAUAGCAAAAAUCGGCAAGCUUUGUGUUGUUGCUGAUAUCUGUUCAGAUAAGCUUUUAUCAUUAAUGUUUACCCUGAGUUAAUUAAAAUAUGAUUGCGUGGUUUAAUUUCUACCCUUUUAGGUGUAUGUAGCUAAUUUGCAUUGGGAUGGAGUAACUCAUGUAAUUCAAAUUUCUGUUGUCACACCAUCAUAGAGUUGUCUUUUGGUUUUUUCAAUUUGCUUGCUGAGUCCACUAUUAGAAGCUAAAAUCAAAUGGAAAUGAUUUGCGUUCUUACAAUCCCUUUUAAUGUUUUUUCAGUCUUGGUUUGCUACUUUAGCUUGGAAUAAGGGUGUCAAAAAGGCUCGACGGCUUAGGAGACCCACGGUGCAGCUAGGAAAAAGCUCGAGCCAACCCGCUUUAGCUUGGAAUAGGGGUGUCAAAAAGGUUCAACGGCUCGGGCGGCCCACGGUGCAGCUCGGGAAAAGCUCGAGCCAACCCGGUUCAUGGCUCGGGCUGAGCCAGAGCGGCUCGUGAGCCUUUAAUUAAAAAAAAAAAAGGCAACAAAUUCUGCCUUUAAAAAGGCCUUGAAAGGCAGCAAAUUCUACCUUUUAAGGCAGUGAGAAAAAGACAAAAAAAAGGAGCCGAACCGGCUCAAAAAAGCUCGAGCCGAAAACUUAGAUCAAGCCGAAAUUUUUGCUCGGCUCAGCUUGAGCUAGUAAAAAAGCUCGACCAUUUUAACCAAGCUAAGUUAGAGCCGAAAGUUUUAGGCUCGAGCUCGGCUCGGCUCGGCUCGUUGACAUCUCUAACUUGUAACAUUAAUCUAUCAGUUUGAAGGAUAAAGAUGCAG